RNAcentral lists this unclassified non-coding RNA (357 nucleotides) under soil metagenome. RNAcentral's name for it is "partial contains 5.8S ribosomal RNA, internal transcribed spacer 2, and large subunit ribosomal RNA". The stretch from base 1 to 120 matches the Rfam family "5.8S ribosomal RNA", at positions 35 to 154 of the family's 154-position model. The record is from RNAcentral.
GAUGAAGAACGUAGCGAAAUGCGAUAAGUAAUGUGAAUUGCAGAAUUCAGUGAAUCAUCGAAUCUUUGAACGCACAUUGCGCCCGUCAGUAUUCUGGCGGGCAUGCCUGUUCGAGCGUCAUUACGCCCCUCAAGUCCCCUGUGGACUUGGUGUUGGGGAUCGGCGAGGCUGGUUUUCCAGCACAGCCGUCCCUUAAAUUAAUUGGCGGUCUCGCCGUGGCCCUCCUCUGCGCAGUAGUAAAACACUCGCAACAGGAGCCCGGCGCGGUCCACUGCCGUAAAACCCCCCAACUUUUAUAGUUGACCUCGAAUCAGGUAGGACUACCCGCUGAACUUAAGCAUAUCAAUAAGCGGAGGA